CGAAAAUGAUACACUUCCUAUAGUUUUGAUUUCAAUAAAGUCUUACUAUACGAUAUUACCUUCAUUCUGAAAUAAAGUUUGAAGGAAUAUGUUUGGACAGAAAAGUGUGUGUGUGUGUGUGUGUGUGUGUGUAUGUGUGUAGGUCUGA
This 148-nucleotide small RNA is filed under the name Marmota monax (woodchuck). The record is from RNAcentral. Lineage: Eukaryota; Metazoa; Chordata; Mammalia; Rodentia; Sciuridae.